RNAcentral lists this unclassified non-coding RNA (282 nucleotides) under Hevea brasiliensis (rubber tree). The record is from RNAcentral. Lineage: Eukaryota; Viridiplantae; Streptophyta; Magnoliopsida; Malpighiales; Euphorbiaceae.
AUUAAAUUUGAAGCUUUGAUCAAUGCCAGGCAACCUUGUUCCCAAUUUAAGUCCACAAAAUUUCUAAAAUGACAUCCAAAUUAACCAUCCUCUCAGGACAAAUGACAAAGCAUAAAUCCUCAAGCAUUCACUUAUUGAAUAACUUUCACAUAACUUAAAACAAACAAAACUCAGAACAGCAUAUGAAUCCCUGAAAAAUCCAAUUUAACCAUUGCCAGCAAAACCUGGAAAUUAGAAAGGGAUGAAAAUAGCAAUAAAUCAUUGUAGCUUAAAAUGCCAACA